CCUACGGGUGGCAGCAGUGGGGGAUAUUGCACAAUGGGGGACACCCUGAUGCAGCGACGCCGCGUGAGGGAAGACGGUUUUCGGAUUGUAAACCUCUGUCUUUGCGGACGAAUUGCGCCUGUACCCAAGAAGGAAGCUCCGGCGAACUACGUGCCAGCAGCCGCGGUAAUACGUAGGGAGCAAGCGUUUUCCGGAAUUACUGGGUGUAAAGGGGGCGUAGGCGGGAGAGUAAGUCGAUUGUUAAAGCUAUCGGCUCAACUGGUAGAUGCGAUCAAAACUGCAAUUCUUGAGUGAAGUAGAGGCAGGCGGAAUUCGUAGUGUAGCGGUGAAAUGCGUAGAUAUUAGGAGGAACACCAGUGGCGAAGGCGGCCUGCUGGGCUUUAACUGACGCUGAGGCUCGAAAGUGCGGGUAGCAAACAGGAUUAGAUACCCCUGUAGUC
Molecule: ribosomal RNA, 440 nt
Filed under: uncultured bacterium
Lineage: Bacteria
Description: partial 16S ribosomal RNA
Rfam family: Bacterial small subunit ribosomal RNA
Source: RNAcentral